This is a non-coding RNA of Clostridium tetanomorphum DSM 665, 351 nucleotides long. Lineage: Bacteria; Bacillati; Bacillota; Clostridia; Eubacteriales; Clostridiaceae. The record is from Rfam.
GGGGGCGUACAUGGUUUCGACGGGGGUAAGUUGUCCCUGGGAAGCGAGUCGAGGGGUCCUGGGCCCGCGUUAAAAAACUGGGAAAAAAAAUAAACGCAAACGAUAAUUUUGCAUUAGCUGCCUAGUUAGCAGCUCGUCAGCCUAAGAGUCCCACGACUUAGGGUCUGGCGUCGACAGUGGGGUCCCGAGCCGAGGAAAGCUUUGACCUAGGAACGGAAAACAUGAAGCUACUGAAACCAGAAGCCUGUCCUUGGGCGCUUGGUAGAGGGAAUGUUAAAAUAAGGACUGCACUCGGAGAUGCUCAGGGGUUACUACUUUCGGACAGGGGUUCGAUUCCCCUCGCCUCCACCA